GCACGGUUCAGCCUGGAUCUUUAGAAGCCAGGAUUAAAAGGGAUUUUUGAUACACCGGAAGUAAUAAAGAAAUAAUAGUAUAACCGCAAGACGUAACUGCAAGCAGUUACGGAUUGUUUUGGAUUGGCUCGUAGUGGCCUGCAAAAAUAGGGAAGUGACCGAUUGUAGACAAUAACUGAACAGUAGCGGACUAUAAAUAGACAAAUAACAUCUAAAAGAAGGGUCUUUUUCCCUCGAGAACAGAAAACUACUUUUAUUUCCUCUAUAUUUUUUUUGCAUUUUUUAGGAGUGAUCUACUUGUAAUCUUUUCCUUUUCCGCAUCUACUGCUUUUCUUAGGAGUAGUUCUAGGGUAAAUUUUCAGAAUCUGUAUGCCCCAAAGGCACACUUUCUUUUGUACAAGUUUUCAGACAUAAUUUUAAUAUAUAAAGGCAUUCGGCUCUUCAGCCAACCCAAACUACUGUGCAUUUCAUUCAUUCGGCUCAUUCAGCAGAACCCGUUCUAUAGUAAAGUUUU
This 514-nucleotide long non-coding RNA is filed under the name Ananas comosus (pineapple). RNAcentral describes it as "long non-coding RNA (ACOM_LNC024368)". The record is from RNAcentral. Lineage: Eukaryota; Viridiplantae; Streptophyta; Magnoliopsida; Poales; Bromeliaceae.